This is a long non-coding RNA of Mauremys mutica (yellowpond turtle), 1198 nucleotides long. RefSeq lists it as uncharacterized. The transcript is spliced from 3 exons. Lineage: Eukaryota; Metazoa; Chordata; Testudines; Geoemydidae. The record is from RefSeq and is a predicted model, not a curated record.
CUGAGAUCAUCCCUUAUCCCUGGAUCCCAGACCUGGGAUUCAAAUGUCAUUUUCUGUGUGGUGUCCUUAUUUUAUUCCUAGGAAAAGGAUCCCCAAAGGAGGUGUAAGGCUCCUGGACUCUAGUGCCUGAAAGAAGCUUCUGCCACCUUCACAGGCUAGGGCUCACCGUCCAUUGUGGAGGUGAAGACUGGAUGGGAGCUACUGGACUGACCUUGAUGUGCCAUGUCCUUGUGUGGAUGAAGGACCUACAUCUCAGGGGUGGCCAGCAGCAGAUGUAACACGUGUCCAGAAAUAGGCUAAACAAUCUACACCGAUAGAUCACCAGCCGCUCAGCAGAAUGCGGGAGAGCCGAGUGCUGAUGGGCUAGAGGGGUCCCAGGAGUCACCGUGUGGCUGUGCAGCAGGUGCAAUGUCUGCAGUCACCAUGGGCCAAACCCUGCGCUCCAGACAACCCAGGCUGUUUCCCUCGAUUACAAAGGGGACUUUAGCUUGGGGAAUCACUUGCUGGAGCCUGUGUCAAUAACUGGGAUGUUUUCACGAGGCUACUCAGUGGUACAUGAAGCGCCAUCCAAGCAAGCCAAACUCUGACCAAACCCAGGUCUGCUUUGUGUUUAAACCCUAUGUAAAACCCAAUGCAUUCAGACCAGCAUGGAGCUGCUGAUUGAAGCAUCUCAUCUGGACAUUAGAGACCGAGGCUGGGACCUACGCGGAGCUUCUGCAGUCGAGCAUCCACAGCCAGAAGAGAGACGAUGGGAAACGCGCUUAGAUGGCUGGCCACAGCAACAGCAGCAGCAGCUGUCUCAUAAAGCUCUGCUCAUGCUCUAGCCAACAGAGGCAGGACAAAGAGCCACACAGUGAGAGCCUGGGUUGCAAUUAGCAAUACAAGUUUUUUUCAGUGGAUUAUGCAGUCCUGACAGUCUAUUUCCUGUAAUGUGCACAUCAACCUCCCUUGCUGACCUCAAUGGAAGUGACGUGCUCCGUGCCUACAGGAUCAGUGCUCAAUAUGCUCGCACAGCAACCUAGCGUGCAAAAACGCAAUAUGAGAGAUGCAAUGGUCCAAAUAUGUAGAAACCUGUCCUCCCUGUUUGUCCCUGCAGUUUUCAUGUCUGCAAUUAAAGGAAGUCUAUAGCAGGGUGGACCCCUGCUCCUGCCCUGAGGGGUUUAAAAGCGGCCUGGCAGGGCUCGAGAGUGGCUGCUCU